AAUGUGCUUUGGCCUCUAACUGUAGGA
This 27-nucleotide non-coding RNA is filed under the name Cricetulus griseus (Chinese hamster). Lineage: Eukaryota; Metazoa; Chordata; Mammalia; Rodentia; Cricetidae. The record is from RNAcentral.